CUCCACAGAGACAAAUGAAUGAGCCACACACAACACCUUAUAUGGAUCAGGCCUUCAUUGGGGCACCUGAACCAUUAAAGAAACAAACAAGUGGCAUCAUCACUUCCCCAGUGUCACUUAGUAACUGGUGAGCUGGGACUUGGCACUACAACCAUUUUCCUUCUACCCUCUGCUCCUUUCAGGAAAAAAGGAAGGCAAAAAAAAGACAGAUCAAUGAUGGCCGAAGUUCCAACAUUCCUGAUGCUUCCAAGGUACUCAAGUGAAGACAAGGAUUUUGAUCGUUCAGUGGCACUGUGAACUACUGACUUUAGCAACUCCUCUAUGACUUGUCCACAUUCCAGAUGGACUCAACAUUCCAUUUAAAAAAAAAAAAACAAAAAA
Molecule: long non-coding RNA, 381 nt
Organism: Hyaena hyaena (striped hyena)
Lineage: Eukaryota; Metazoa; Chordata; Mammalia; Carnivora; Hyaenidae
Exons: 2
Source: RefSeq, a predicted model, not a curated record